RNAcentral lists this non-coding RNA (21 nucleotides) under Caenorhabditis elegans. The record is from RNAcentral. Lineage: Eukaryota; Metazoa; Nematoda; Chromadorea; Rhabditida; Rhabditidae.
UUCAUAAAAUAUUAUCCUUCU